AUUGAACGCUGGCGGAAUGCUUUACACAUGCAAGUCGAGCGGCAGCGCGGGGGCAACCCUGGCGGCGAGCGGCGAACGGGUGAGUAACACAUCGGAACGUACCCAGUUGUGGGGGGAUAGCCCGGCGAAAGCCGGAUUAAUACCGCAUACGACCUGAGGGUGAAAGGGGGGGAUCGCAAGACCUCUCGCAGUUGGAGCGGCCGAUGGCGGAUUAGCUAGUUGGUGGGGUAAAGGCUCACCAAGGCGACGAUCCGUAGCUGGUCUGAGAGGACGACCAGCCACACUGGAACUGAGACACGGUCCAGACUCCUACGGGAGGCAGCAGUGGGGAAUUUUGGACAAUGGGGGCAACCCUGAUCCAGCCAUUCCGCGUGAGUGAAGAAGGCCUUCGGGUUGUAAAGCUCUUUCGGCAGGAACGAAACGGUGGAGGCUAAGUACCUUUCAUCAAUGACGGUACCUGAAGAAGAAGCACCGGCUAACUACGUGCCAGCAGCCGCGGUAACUCAUACUCGUA
Molecule: ribosomal RNA, 514 nt
Filed under: uncultured bacterium
Lineage: Bacteria
Description: bacterial SSU rRNA
Rfam family: Bacterial small subunit ribosomal RNA
Source: RNAcentral